AGCAGCCGCGGUAAUUCCANCUCCAAUAGCGUAUAUUAAAGUCGUUGCAGUUAAAAAGCUCGUAGUUGAACUUCAGACCUGGCUGGGCGGUCAGCUUAUCGGCGUGUACUGUCCGGCUGGGCCUUACUUCUUGGUGAGCCGGUGUGCCCUUUAUUGGGUGCGUCGGUGAACCAGGACCUUUACCUUGAGAAAAUUAGAGUGUUCAAAGCAGGCCUAUGCCCGAAUACAUUAGCAUGGAAUAAUAAAAUAGGACGUGCGGUUCUAUUUUGUUGGUUUCUAGAGUCGCCGUAAUGAUUAAUAGGGAUAGUUGGGGGCAUUGGUAUUGAGUCGCUAGAGGUGAAAUUCUUGGAUUGACUCAAGACCAACUAUUGCGAAAGCAUUUGCCAAGGAUGUUUUCAUUAAUCAAGAACGAAGGUUAGGGGAUCGAAAACGAUUAGAUACCGUUGUAGUCUUAACAGUAAACUAUGCCGACUAGGGAUCGGAUGACCUCAAUUAUUAUGUGUCA
RNAcentral lists this ribosomal RNA (505 nucleotides) under uncultured fungus. Its description in RNAcentral is "SSU rRNA". It matches the Rfam family "Eukaryotic small subunit ribosomal RNA", at positions 569 to 1078 of the family's 1831-position model. Lineage: Eukaryota; Fungi. The record is from RNAcentral.